RNAcentral lists this ribosomal RNA (314 nucleotides) under uncultured bacterium. RNAcentral describes it as "bacterial SSU rRNA". It matches the Rfam family "Bacterial small subunit ribosomal RNA", at positions 482 to 793 of the family's 1533-position model. The record is from RNAcentral.
AGAAGAAAGCACCGGCUAACUCCGUGCCAGCAGCCGCGGUAAUACGGAGGGUGCGAGCGUUAAUCGGAAUUACUGGGCGUAAAGCGCAUGCAGGCGGCCUGUUAAGUCGGAUGUGAAAGCCCGGGGCUUAACCUCGGAAUUGCAUUUGAAACUGGCAGGCUAGAGUCUUGUAGAGGGGGGUAGGAAUUUCAGGUGUAGCGGUGAAAUGCGUAGAGAUCUGAAGGAAUACCAGUGGCGAAGGCGGCCCCCUCGGACAAAGACUGACGCUCAGAUGCGAAAGCGUGGGGAGCAAACAGGAUUAGAUACCCUGGUAG